RNAcentral lists this ribosomal RNA (370 nucleotides) under uncultured organism. RNAcentral describes it as "bacterial SSU rRNA". It matches the Rfam family "Bacterial small subunit ribosomal RNA", at positions 526 to 896 of the family's 1533-position model. The record is from RNAcentral.
CGUAGGGUGCAAGCGUUAAUCGGAAUUACUGGGCGUAAAGCGUGCGCAGGCGGUUUUGUAAGACAGAUGUGGAAUCCCCGGGCUCAACCUGGGACCUGCAUUUGUGACUGCAAGGCUAGAGUACGGUAGAGGGGGAUGGAAUUCCGCGUGUAGCAGUGAAAUGCGUAGAUAUGCGGAGGAACACCGAUGGCGAAGGCAAUCCCCUGGACCUGUACUGACGCUCAUGCACGAAAGCGUGGGGAGCAAACAGGAUUAGAUACCCUGGUAGUCCACGCCCUAAACGAUGUCAACUGGUUGUUGGGUCUUUACUGACUCAGUAACGAAGCUAACGCGUGAAGUUGACCGCCUGGGGAGUACGGCCGCAAGGUUG